CUCAAAUUUGAAAGCUGGCCCCCCCGGGGGUCCGCGUUGUAAUUUGUAGAGGAUGAUUCGGCGAGGGCUCCCGCCUAAGUCCCCUGGAACGGGGCGUCAUAGAGGGUGAGAAUCCCGUAUGCGGUGGGCUGCCUUAGCCAUGUGAAUCUCCUUCGACGAGUCGAGUUGUUUGGGAAUGCAGCUCUAAAUGGGAGGUAAAUUUCUUCUAAAGCUAAAUACCGGCCAGAGACCGAUAGCGCACAAGUAGAGUGAUCGAAAGAUGAAAAGCACUUUGGAAAGAGAGUUAAAAAGUACGUGAAAUUGUUGAAAGGGAAGCGCUUGCAGCCAGACUUGUCCGCAGUUGCUCAGCCGGUCUCCUGACCGGCGCACUCUUCUGCGGCCAGGCCAGCAUCAGUUCGGGCGGUCGGAUAAAGGCCCCGGGAACGUAGCUCCUCUCGGGGAGUGUUAUAGCCCGGGGUGGAAUGCGGCCAGCCUGGACUGAGGAUCUCGCUUCGGCUAGGAUGCUGGCGUAAUGGCUGUAAGCGGCCCGUCUUGAAACACGGACCAAGGAGUCUAACAUCUAUGCGAGUGUUUGGGUGUCAAACCCAUGCGCGUAAUGAAAGUGAACGGAGGUGGGAACCCUCGCGGGUGCACCAUCGACCGAUCCUGAUGUCUUCGGAUGGAUUUGAGUAAGAGCAUAGCUGUUGGGACCCGAAAGAUGGUGAACUAUGCCUGAAUAGGGUGAAGCCAGAGGAAACUCUGGUGGAGGCUCGCAGCGGUUCUGACGUGCAAAUCGAUCGUCAAAUUUGGGUAUAGGGGCGAAAGACUAAUCGAACCAUCGACUACUAGGUGGUUAAGAGGUGGCUGAAAGUGCCCACCUAGUCCCCCCGUCCUCGGACGGGGGGGCGACAUCGCCAAAUUGCGGGGACUCCCUUAGAGCCUCUACUACCGCGGCCGGCCGAAAGGCGCGGUGCAGCACCGGGUUAAUUGCCUAGGGUACGGUAAAAAGGUAGAGGAUUGGGAAAUCCGCAGCCAAGCGCCUAAGUCCCGCGGGAUACGGCGAAGGUUCAGAGACUAGAUGGCGGUGGGUCCG
This 1072-nucleotide ribosomal RNA is filed under the name Neoscytalidium dimidiatum. Its description in RNAcentral is "partial large subunit ribosomal RNA". It matches the Rfam family "Eukaryotic large subunit ribosomal RNA", at positions 108 to 1047 of the family's 3401-position model. Lineage: Eukaryota; Fungi; Ascomycota; Dothideomycetes; Botryosphaeriales; Botryosphaeriaceae. The record is from RNAcentral.